GUCGAGAAUAAUUCACAAUGGGGGCAACCCUGAUGGUGCAACGCCGCGUGGAGGAUGAAGGUCUUCGGAUUGUAAACUCCUGUCAUCCGGGAGCAAGACCUGGCCGUGAAUAGCGGACAGGGUUGAUAGUACCGGAAGAGGAAGGGACGGCUAACUUCGUGCCAGCAGCCGCGGUAAUACGAAGGUCCCAAGCGUUGUUCGGAAUCACUGGGCGUAAAGGGAGCGUAGGCUGCGCGGUAAGUCAGGUGUGAAAUCCCGGGGCUCAACCCCGGAACUGCAUCCGAUACUGCCGUGCUAGAGGAUUGGAGAGGUAGCUGGAAUUCUUGGUGUAGCAGUGAAAUGCGUGGAGAUCAAGAGGAACACUCGUGGCGAAAGCGAGCUACUGGACAAUAUCUGACGCUGAGGCUCGAAGGCCAGGGUAGCGAAAGGGAUUAGAAACCCUUGUAGUCC
RNAcentral lists this ribosomal RNA (450 nucleotides) under uncultured bacterium. RNAcentral's name for it is "partial 16S ribosomal RNA". It matches the Rfam family "Bacterial small subunit ribosomal RNA", at positions 354 to 796 of the family's 1533-position model. The record is from RNAcentral.